RNAcentral lists this transfer RNA (76 nucleotides) under Candidatus Doudnaibacteriota bacterium. RNAcentral's name for it is "Candidatus Doudnabacteria bacterium (hot springs metagenome) tRNA-Ala". It matches the Rfam family "tRNA". Rfam says of the family: Transfer RNA (tRNA) molecules are approximately 80 nucleotides in length. Their secondary structure includes four short double-helical elements and three loops (D, anti-codon, and T loops). The record is from RNAcentral. Lineage: Bacteria; Candidatus Doudnaibacteriota.
GGGCCUCUAGCUCAUCUGGUAGAGCGCAUCCAUGGCAUGGAUGAGGUGAGGGGUUCGAGUCCCCUGAGGUCCACCA